CCUACGGGGGGCAGCAGUGGGGAAUAUUGGACAAUGGGGGAAACCCUGAUCCAGCCAUGCCGCGUGAAUGAUGAAGGCCUUCGGGUUGUAAAGUUCUUUUGGAGGGGACGAUGAUGACGGUACCCUCAGAAUAAGCUCCGGCUAACUUCGUGCCAGCAGCCGCGGUAAUACGAAGGGAGCUAGCGUUGUUCGGAAUUACUGGGCGUAAAGGGCGUGUAGGCGGUUUGGUCAGUCAGAUGUGAAAGCCCCGGGCUUAACCCGGGAACUGCGUUUGAUACUGCCAAGCUUGAAUUCGGGAGAGGUGAGUGGAAUUCCCAGUGUAGAGGUGAAAUUCGUAGAUAUUGGGAAGAACACCGGUGGCGAAGGCGGCUCACUGGACCGACAUUGACGCUGAGGCGCGAAAGCGUGGGGAGCAAACAGGAUUAGAUACCCCAGUAGUC
RNAcentral lists this ribosomal RNA (440 nucleotides) under uncultured Alphaproteobacteria bacterium. RNAcentral describes it as "bacterial SSU rRNA". It matches the Rfam family "Bacterial small subunit ribosomal RNA", at positions 338 to 795 of the family's 1533-position model. The record is from RNAcentral. Lineage: Bacteria; Pseudomonadati; Pseudomonadota; Alphaproteobacteria.